Non-coding RNA from Microcebus murinus (gray mouse lemur), 2899 nucleotides. The record is from RefSeq and is a predicted model, not a curated record. NCBI's taxonomy places the organism in Eukaryota, Metazoa, Chordata, Mammalia, Primates, Cheirogaleidae.
GAAAGAACCAGCCUCUCUGGCUCAGGUCUCCUGGGUUCUGGAAACCCCUCGGAGAAUUCCAGGCUCAGUUCCCCACAUCCCACCUGCGCCGUCUGGUGUCUGGCUUUCCUGGGACCACAGGGCACGACUUCCCUCAGUGAGAGGGUCUACAGCCAGCCACGAGGGAGCCAGUGCCCACGGCAGUGGGGCAGGCACCUGUGCAGCAGCGGGCCAUCCAGCCGAGGCUGUGCUGUAGAGGCUUCACGCUGGCUCUCCAGAAAGCACAGACGCCCUGGUCUGUCACCUUUGCCGACUUCCACGAUGCCAAUCCACCCACACUGGCCAAUUGCAAGGUGGCAGCGCAAGGCCGCCGACUGCAGAGGCAGGAGGAGGAGAGGCUGCAUUCACGCCACGCCGCGGCACGGCACGGCACGGCACGCCACACAUCAGCGGCAACUCCACGCUGGAGGUCAGCAACCUGGAGAGCCCCGCACGGCAAAAUGCGGGGAAGUGACCAGGGAGCCAGGAGUGCGAGGCAUCGUCUUUGUUUUGAUACAAUUUAUUUAAUGAUAGGUUAGUAUAGUCUAGUUUUCAACAACAGCCACCUCUCACAACUGGCUCACAGAAACCUUGACAAGGUACCCAGCGGGCUCCGGCUUCCUCCCUGCCCUCAGCCAGGGAGAGCUGGCUUGUUUGCAAACACAGGCUUCGGGACGUAACCGCACCGCACACCGCCCUGCUGCCCCACGGAGAACUACGCCCCUGACGGUGGCUGGGGGCAAAGGGCAGAUGAGGUCACCACGGGGAACGGGCAGAGGGCCAGGCUCCUUGCUAAGAGACAGAAACUGCAGGACACUGACACACAAGAUUUCUCCCAGAAUCUACAUAGGACCAGUCCAGUGACCAGGGCAAGGAUGGAGAGGGAGAGACAGAAGAAAGAAUUUCAUGGAAUUCAGCAAGCACUGGACAACCUAUCCUAUUAGCAAAAGCAAUGCAUUCUGCCCCUCACCAUGUGCCAGGCAUGUGGCACUGCAUCGCCGACCAGCACAACACCGGGAAACUGAUCAAAAGGCCCUUGCAUCUCCAUGGCCCAGACAGCACCCUCAGGCCACCUCAGGCGCACGAAGGCUCCAUGGUGACAGGCUGGCCAGUAAUGCAACCAGGAGUUACUGAGGGUGGCCUGGCCCAGAGUCCCGGAGCCGAUGGGGAGAGUGGGUCUGCACUCAACAGCCACAGUGGAGGGGCCGGGGGCCCUGCGGGAGAACCAUGCCCUACACAGGGCUGGGGCGCUGCGCCGUGAAGCGCGGCCUCACUCUUCCACGUCCUGCAGCUGACUUCCAAGGGAAGUCCUCCCCAGGAGAUGGUCUGUGUGGCCUUUGCCUUGCAGCUGCGUGCUGGCGGGGAAGCCUGCUGGCACUGUGUCACACGCCGUCCGGGAUCGAUGGUGAGGAAGCCAGUGCCGGGCCUGCCGUGGGAGCCACUCUGCGGAGCGGGCACAGGGCGCACGAGGCAGAGGGCUGCAGCGGGUGGUUCACGCCGUGUGCUGCGUUUCUGGAGGGGAGGAGCAGGACCCGUGGGCAGUCAUUGCGCACAAAGCAAGCUGUUUCUGAAACAUUCAAACUUGGGGCAUUGUGGCUUCCGGGGACGACGUCCCUCUGCUCCGUCUGCAGGCGUCCCUGGGGACUGCCAGCGCGCCGGCCAGCCUGCCCUCCUGGGCCGAGGGCACUGCUUGCUGACCGGGAGAGAUCACACCUGGAUCUGGGUUUUCUGGCUGCGUCGCUGGCGAGGAGAUGAAGCAGCCGCCUGGGACACCCCCGCAGACCCACGAGCCGGCCGAGGCUCCGCGAGCGCGCCGGCCCUUGGAAGGACCUCAGCAGAUGCCUGCGCCUCUCCUCCCUUUUGCUCUGGUCUCAACUUUUUGUCGGUGUUUCACUUCCAGCGUCCCUGCAGCUGCUGCCUCUCACGCUGGCAGCUUGGGCUGCUCCCCAGGUCCCUUCCCCUGGGGCCUGAGGCUUGGGGCUGGCGGGCGCCCUCCCGGUGGGCCAGCCUUCCUCAGGCCCUUCACACCCAUGCAGCCUCCCGCUCCUGCUCGCCGCAACACGGGCGCGCUGUCUCCAUUUCAGAGGCCGUCUGAGACGGAGUGACUGCCCUGCGGCCCCACGGCACUACCCUCCCUCUCGCCACCCAGAGUCCUGUUCAUGUCACUGUCCUUGUCCUUCCCUCAACACAUUGGCUUGGCAUCUUCUCCAGCGGUCUCUUCCUCCCUGCACAAACUACGGUACCUGCGAGGGGCUGCACAUGCAGGUCAGGUGACACCUUGCACGGUGACUUCCAGAUGCACGUUGGUGCAAUGAGCAAUUUUGCUUGCAGAUGGAGCAGAGGGGGGUAAGGGAUCUCUCCAUGUUUCUCCGUUGGAACCGGCUGGAACUGGCUCCCUGCCAGAUGUCCCUGCAGGUGUGGCACACUUUGCAGGCCAACUUCAGGGUGUGGCUUUUGACUCUACCUCGGGCCUGCUUCCCGCUGCCAUGCCUGCAGUCUGGGUGCACUGGCUGCAAGUUGCCCCGGCAGCGCCCGCCUAGGGGACCCUGCUGGGAAGACACAGAAGAAAGCCUACACCGCCCAGGCCCCAGGUGCGAAGGUCAGGACACUGUGUCCCUGUGAGGCGAGGCUCCAGCAGGGGUCUCGGGCUUGGAGUUGUGGGUGGCACAGGCGGGAGGCAGAGGAAGGGGAGCCCAGGCCCCGCCGACCCUGCAGAGGACUGUAGCUUUCUAGACCUGUCUGAACCUCUCUGUGAUGAUGGGUGUCUAGGGAAUGGUCUGCCAGAGAACUGCCCUCCACAGGCCGCAGGAGAAGGUGCAGUGGUUGCCCUUGAACGCCGCGUUAGAAAAUAACUAGGAGCUCAAAACCAGCCUGAGCAAGA